UGGGGAAUAUUGGACAAUGGGGGCAACCCUGAUCCAGCAAUGCCGCGUGUGUGAAGAAGGUCUUCGGAUUGUAAAGCACUUUCGACGGGGACGAUGAUGACGGUACCCGUAGAAGAAGCCCCGGCUAACUUCGUGCCAGCAGCCGCGGUAAUACGAAGGGGGCUAGCGUUGCUCGGAAUGACUGGGCGUAAAGGGCGUGUAGGCGGUUUACACAGUCAGAUGUGAAAUCCCCGGGCUUAACCUGGGAGCUGCAUUUGAUACGUGUAGACUAGAGUGUGAGAGAGGGUUGUGGAAUUCCCAGUGUGGAGGUGAAAUUCGUAGAUAUUGGGAAGAACACCGGUGGCGAAGGCGGCAACCUGGCUCAUUACUGACGCUGAGGCGCGAAAGCGUGGGGAGCAAACAGGAUUAGAUACCCUGGUAGUCCACGCUGUAAACGAUGUGUGCUAGAUGUUGGGUAACU
Molecule: ribosomal RNA, 460 nt
Filed under: uncultured bacterium
Lineage: Bacteria
Description: partial 16S ribosomal RNA
Rfam family: Bacterial small subunit ribosomal RNA
Source: RNAcentral